This 1073-nucleotide small RNA is filed under the name Rattus norvegicus (Norway rat). Its description in RNAcentral is "uncharacterized LOC102548445". Lineage: Eukaryota; Metazoa; Chordata; Mammalia; Rodentia; Muridae. The record is from RNAcentral.
UGUAGAUGUAUUGCUUAGGGGCAAGCUGCCCAUGAUCUGUUGUUGAUCUCUGCCUUGUGUCCAAUUGGGGCUUUAAACAAUGGUUCACUUGUGCAAAGAGAAGCUUCUUGGAUGAGGGAUUCCUCCGUCUACCACCAAGCAAUCGGAGACAAGGCGGGCGCAGUAACACUGAAAACAUGCCAACUGUGCCUCACACAUAUUGGAUACAUGGAACUGAACUCCUCCUAAUCUCCACUUCGCAUUAUUACCAGCACCUGGGCACCGUGGUAGUCGGUUCUCCCAGACCCCAGCAGGAAAAUAAUAAGAAGGAACCUGGAGUCCGUGCACAGCAUUCAAGGACUGAACCAGCGUUGAACUAACAAGAACCAUUCUUUUGAAAGGCACCUAGAGAUUUCCUCGCUUGCAAAGUUGCUCUGGACUGAAAGUUAUCAUAGGAACUGUGAAGCUACCAAGGGUGAGCAGAAAAGGAGCCAGCAUUGCUCCAAGGCAGCUUCUUUCUGAGGAAGGCCCUUCAUAAGAAACAUGCCAACUGUACCUCACACAUAUUGGAUAUCCAAGUCCAGGUAUGAAAUCUUCAGUCUUCUGUGCAGGUCACCUGGACCUCCAUGAUCCUUCAACACUCAGAGGAAUUACAAGUCUCACAACCUGAACAAAGUCAGUACACGUCAGCGCCGCUUGUAAAUCAUGCCAGACGUGACUUUUGUCGAUUCGUUUUGUUUCUAGCAAGAUGGAAAACCAUUAAUACGGUCUUUAACUUUAAAGCAGACUUGUGAGCGCCGAGAUAAAAUACUAAGAAUUCUCUCUGACUGAACGAAGAAACAAUAAAACGAGCUGAUUCUAUUUGUGGAUAACAAAACCCUUCUCAAGAAGGAGCACACACUUCCUUAAGUGCUAAUCAUCCUACCCAGUCUCACUCACUGACUUAAAAAACAGGUUUCUCACAGUGUCUGAAGUAAGGCAGACUUGCAAUAAGAAGGUAUAUAAUUCCUUUCAAAUAAAUGUGGGCACUGACUCUAGUCUGUGUGUCUGGCCAAGGGCUAUAAAGGGCAUCCAUUUGGUUAUACGCUUACGCU